UGGGGAAUCUUGCGCAAUGCGCGAAAGCGUGACGCAGCAACGCCGCGUGGGGGAAGAAGGCCUUCGGGUUGUAAACCCCUUUCAGUUGGGACGAAGCUCCGCCGGUGAAUAGCCGGUUGGAGUGACGGUACCUUCAGAAGAAGCCCCGGCUAACUACGUGCCAGCAGCCGCGGUAAUACGUAGGGGGCAAGCGUUGUCCGGAAUCAUUGGGCGUAAAGAGCGUGUAGGCGGCUCGGUAAGUCCGCUGUGAAAGUCCAGGGCUCAACCCUGGAAUGCCGGUGGAAACUGUCGAGCUAGAGUCCGGAAGAGGCGAGUGGAAUUCCUGGUGUAGCGGUGAAAUGCGCAGAUAUCAGGAGGAACACCAAUGGCGAAGGCAGCUCGCUGGGACGGUACUGACGCUGAGACGCGAAAGCGUGGGGAGCAAACAGGAUUAGAUACC
RNAcentral lists this ribosomal RNA (439 nucleotides) under uncultured bacterium. RNAcentral's name for it is "bacterial SSU rRNA". It matches the Rfam family "Bacterial small subunit ribosomal RNA", at positions 355 to 786 of the family's 1533-position model. The record is from RNAcentral.